UAGGGAAUCUUCCACAAUGGACGAAAGUCUGAUGGAGCAACGCCGCGUGAGUGAAGAAGGGUUUCGGCUCGUAAACUCUGUUGUUAAAGAAGAACAUAUCUGAGAGUAACUGUUCAGGUAUUGACGGUAUUUAACCAGAAAGCCACGGCUAACUACGUGCC
This 161-nucleotide ribosomal RNA is filed under the name uncultured bacterium. RNAcentral's name for it is "partial 16S rRNA". It matches the Rfam family "Bacterial small subunit ribosomal RNA", at positions 355 to 509 of the family's 1533-position model. The record is from RNAcentral.